GAUGAACGCUGGCGGCGUGCCUAAUACAUGCAAGUCGAGCGAACAGACGAGGAGCUUGCUCCUCUGACGUUAGCGGCGGACGGGUGAGUAACACGUUGAUAACCUACCUAUAAGACUGGGAUAACUGCGGGAAACCGGAGCUAAUACCGGAUAAUAUAUUGAACCUCAUUGUUCAAUAGUGAAAGACGGUUUUGCUGUCACUUAUAGAUAGAUCCUCGCCGCAUUAGUUAGUUGGUAAGGUAACGGGUUACCAAGGCAACGAUGCGUACCCGACCUGAGAGGGUGAUCGGCCACACUGGAACUGAGAAACGGUCCAGACUCCUACGGGAGGCAGCAGUAGGGAAUCUUCCGAAAUGGGCGAAAGCCUGACGGAGCAACGCCGCGUAGGUGAUGAAGGUCUUCGGAUCGUAAACCUCUGUUAUUAGGGAAGAACAAAUGUGUAAGUAACUAUGCACGUCUUGACGGUACCUAAUCAGAAAGCCACGGCUAACUACGUG
This 497-nucleotide ribosomal RNA is filed under the name uncultured bacterium. RNAcentral's name for it is "partial 16S ribosomal RNA". It matches the Rfam family "Bacterial small subunit ribosomal RNA", at positions 28 to 507 of the family's 1533-position model. The record is from RNAcentral.